GUACACUCCUGCGGGAGGCAGCAGUGGGGAAUAUUGGACAAUGGGCGCAAGCCUGAUCCAGCCAUGCCGCGUGAGUGAUGAAGGCCCUAGGGUUGUAAAGCUCUUUCACCGGUGAAGAUAAUGACGGUAACCGGAGAAGAAGCCCCGGCUAACUUCGUGCCAGCAGCCGCGGUAAUACGAAGGGGGCUAGCGUUGUUCGGAUUUACUGGGCGUAAAGCGCACGUAGGCGGACUAUUAAGUCAGGGGUGAAAUCCCGGGGCUCAACCCCGGAACUGCCUUUGAUACUGGUAGUCUUGAGUUCGAGAGAGGUGAGUGGAAUUCCGAGUGUAGAGGUGAAAGUCGUAGAUAUUCGGAGGAACACCAGUGGCGAAGGCGGCUCACUGGCUCGAUACUGACGCUGAGGUGCGAAAGCGUGGGGAGCAAACAGGAUUAGAAACCCCGGUAGUCCCAUGAU
Molecule: ribosomal RNA, 454 nt
Filed under: uncultured organism
Description: partial 16S ribosomal RNA
Rfam family: Bacterial small subunit ribosomal RNA
Source: RNAcentral